AGGAACUUAAGUUAUAUUGCAAACUAGAGGCCUUCAAAGCCCCCAAAAAAAAGACCAUUUUAGUUCCUG
Molecule: transfer RNA, 69 nt
Filed under: Hydrophis cyanocinctus (Asian annulated sea snake)
Lineage: Eukaryota; Metazoa; Chordata; Lepidosauria; Squamata; Elapidae
Description: tRNA-Trp
Source: RNAcentral